GCGGGCCUGGAGGGUGGAGGUGGAGGGUGUGAUCCCGUUCCGAGUGGAGCAGCGAGGUAAUCAGCCGGCUCCAGAAGCAAACAGGGCUAAGUGGAUCCCGCCAGCAACAGCUCCGGCAAGGGCAAAAGGACGCAGAGCAAGGCCUGCCGGCUCACAUCCAGUUGUAAGCAAGUGUGCCUCGCUCCAAGAAAAAAGCUUGCUGCAUGGUUCUGAGUAAGCCCCUAAAUUGUUGUGCCUGAGUUCUGGGACCUUUAAAGUGCACAUCACAAAGCUGGUGAAGAUCACCAAGAAAGACCUACAGACAGUGCUUCAAAAGCUGCAUUUAGGACUCACAGGUCUUCAUUGCUUCCAAUCCGCCCUUGGAGCCCUUGGCCUCUGGCAAGAUUUUUAGUAGAAAACCAAGGAUUCUUCACCAGAAGCCAAUGAUAAGAUAAAGAAAUAUGGCGCACUCUGUACUACCCACAUGUCACAGCACUGCUCCUGCCACAUUAUGCUGUCCCUCUUCACUGUCCUCUAACUUGAGAAGUCACGUCUGAUAUACAGAUAAUAGAAUCACCUUUGUUUACCGGAAUGAACAGCGAUUCUUUGGGCUCCACAGCACCAGGAAUGUCACUGCCUCUGGGAGCAGAGGGGGGAAGAGAAGACCCCUUAGGACCAGCUGUUCCCAGUUUUCUGAGACUGACAGAGGCCAGCAAGCUCCCCAGAGAGCAGUGGGCGUGUGUUGGGAAGCUAGAACACAAGCUAAAACAAAAUUCACGUCACAUUUUGGGGACAGUUUAACUCAUCACCUUCGCUGUGUUUAACUGGUAACACCGAACUUCACUUUGAGUGGAUUUUACUGAUUUAAAGUUGCAUUUAAAACUUACUUUUCAGUGUGGCAGCAAAAGCACAACUGUUUGAAAAUGUUGGCUCACUCGAGCCAGCUGCUUCUGGGUUGUAAGUUCUCAAAUACCUUAAACCUGGUUAAAAACACAACUGUGGAAGGGCCUCCCUUGUGGCCUAGGGGUUAAGGUUCAGCGCUGCCAGCCACAGUGGCCUGAGUUCAAUCCCCGGCUAGGGAGAUAACCCAUACACAGGGCGGCGGGCGCCUCUGCCUUGCCCGCUAGUGCCACCUAAAGGUGUCCUUGUCUACCGUCCUUCCUUCUCCCCUUCCCCCACCCUCCCUCUCCU
Molecule: long non-coding RNA, 1170 nt
Organism: Talpa occidentalis (Iberian mole)
Lineage: Eukaryota; Metazoa; Chordata; Mammalia; Eulipotyphla; Talpidae
Exons: 6
Source: RefSeq, a predicted model, not a curated record